Small nuclear RNA from Aotus nancymaae (Ma's night monkey), 164 nucleotides. Its record names the gene U1. It matches the Rfam family "U1 spliceosomal RNA". From Rfam's summary of the family: U1 is a small nuclear RNA (snRNA) component of the spliceosome (involved in pre-mRNA splicing). NCBI's taxonomy places the organism in Eukaryota, Metazoa, Chordata, Mammalia, Primates, Aotidae. The record is from Ensembl.
AUACUUACCUGGCAGGGGAGAUACUGUGAUCACAAAGGUGGUUUUCCCAGGGCGAGGCUUAUCCAUUGCACUCCGGAUGUGCUGACCCCUGCGAUUUCCCCAAAUGUGGGAAACUCGACUGCAUAAUUUGUGGUAGUAGGGGACUGUGUUCACGCUUUCUCCUG